Molecule: long non-coding RNA, 730 nt
Organism: Lactuca sativa (garden lettuce)
Lineage: Eukaryota; Viridiplantae; Streptophyta; Magnoliopsida; Asterales; Asteraceae
Source: RefSeq, a predicted model, not a curated record
GUUAACAUUUGGGGUAUUUGGUAUUUAAUUUAAGGUUUCCCUUUCUUUUUAUAAUCCCAAUUCUAAUCACUGUCAAAUUAAGACAAAAUGUAAAUUUGAUAAGAAUUGGAAAUAACAAAGAAGAGCGGAUCUAUUAUUCCAUCGAUUUCACCAUGCAUAAAGAUCUUAAAGAUAUACUACAGACUUUUGACAUUUAGGUGAAUUUCAAAUGCAAAACUUGUUACUUCUAAUUAAGAGUUGAAUGAUGAUAAGUAAUGCAUUUAUUUUUUAUUCUUGUAAACAAAACCAGAUUGUUGGUUUUAAAACUAAACCAAAUAACCCGAUUCAAUUACCAUAGUUUAGAAAAUCCUGAUUUCCCAAUUACCCUAAUCUCCCCACUUUCAUACUCAACAGGCACCUUUACAAAUGGCGAUUCAGCACGAGAUCGCUAGGCAGAAUCAGACCAAGAUCCUUGAUACAGCGCCAUUCAUUGUGCUUCUACUGAUCGCAGCACACGUCCUUGCAUUGGUUUAUGGGAUCUACAAAUUGGCUACAUCGAAACUGCCUCAAAGAAGAGUCGAGCCCUUGAAGAAAAGAAGUUAGUAAUGUAACAUCGGUAUUUGAUUUUUGGUAAACAAUUGUUCAAUUUUUCUUUAAUCGGUCGAUGGCAAUGAGUCCUUAGAAAAAUGGAUGCCUGAUGUUUAGUGGAUUUCUUGUAAUUCAGUUUUGGCAUAAUUACCUCCUUCUAAUA